Molecule: ribosomal RNA, 496 nt
Filed under: uncultured bacterium
Lineage: Bacteria
Description: partial 16S ribosomal RNA
Rfam family: Bacterial small subunit ribosomal RNA
Source: RNAcentral
AUGAACGCUGGCGGCGUGCCUAAUACAUGCAAGUCGCGCGAACGGACGAGAGGCUUGCUUCUCUGAUGUUAGCGGCGGACGGGUGAGUAACACGUGGAUAACCUACCUAUAAGACUGGGAUAACUUCGGGAAACCGGAGCUAAUACCGGAUAAUAUUUUGAACCGCAUGGUUCAAAAGUGAAAGACGGUCUUGCUGUCACUUAUAGAUGGAUCCGCGCUGCAUUAGCUAGUUGGUAAGGUAACGGCUUACCAAGGCAACGAUGCAUAGCCGACCUGAGAGGGUGAUCGGCCACACUGGAACUGAGACACGGUCCAGACUCCUACGGGAGGCAGCAGUAGGGAAUCUUCCGCAAUGGGCGAAAGCCUGACGGAGCAACGCCGCGUGAGUGAUGAAGGUCUUCGGAUCGUAAAACUCUGUUAUUAGGGAAGAACAUAUGUGUAAGUAACUGUGCACAUCUUGACGGUACCUAAUCAGAAAGCCACGGCUAACUACGUG